RNA transcript from Anopheles coustani, 2889 nucleotides. It is a transcript of the gene named calmodulin, with no coding region annotated. The transcript has 5 exons. NCBI's taxonomy places the organism in Eukaryota, Metazoa, Arthropoda, Insecta, Diptera, Culicidae. The record is from RefSeq and is a predicted model, not a curated record.
CUCGUCUCGUUACUACCGUGUAGAACGCAAAAGGGAUCGCUCUGGUUCCGGGAGGCGGUGUGCUCUGCUGUGUGCGGUUUUUAACGUGUUUUUCCCGUGUGCAAUCCCCCGGGCUGAAGACAGUUGUGUGAGUGUGCCUCCCGUGCGCCUCACCUGUCAUACCCCGUGCGCUAGCGUGUUUUCGUGUGCGUCUUCGCGUUUUCUGUGCGAAAAGAGAUCGAUCGCAGAGAAGAUCCAAGACGGCCGAACAACGGGCCAAGAGUCGGUAAUUAGAAAAGCAGCAGCAAAUCGCGCUAAGUAAAAAACAAAAGGAAGAAAAAACUACAACGAGCGAGUUGAAAAACCUCGUCGUUGGUUGUGUUGGAACAAGCGAGAGAACAGAUUGAUUUGUGCCCGCGCAUCCUUCUGAGUGUGUGGUAGAGAACCAGUGUGCGAGAGGGACGAAAGAGAGGGAGAUAGAGAGAGAGUAAGAGAAUUAUUCUCUCUCACUAUCUAAAAAAGAGAAAACAUCAGUCAAGGUAUUUCGCUCAUCUCAGCAGCAGCAGCAGCAGCAGAAGCAGCAGCGCAAGGCAGCAGUAAUUUGUAAGCCGCAGUAGUUAGCAGCAGUCGUCGCAGUUCGCAGCAAGCGCCGUAGCAGCAAAACCCCCAGUGUCAGCCAGUUUUUUCGCGCAGCCACACCACUCCACCUAAAAGCAUCAAAAAUGGCCGAUCAACUGACGGAAGAACAAAUCGCAGAGUUCAAAGAAGCGUUCUCGCUUUUCGAUAAGGACGGUGACGGCACAAUCACGACCAAGGAAUUAGGCACCGUUAUGCGAUCGCUAGGCCAGAACCCCACAGAAGCAGAACUGCAAGACAUGAUCAACGAAGUCGACGCGGACGGCAACGGCACGAUCGAUUUCCCCGAGUUCCUCACAAUGAUGGCUCGAAAAAUGAAGGACACGGAUAGCGAAGAAGAAAUCCGGGAGGCAUUCCGAGUCUUCGAUAAGGACGGCAACGGUUUUAUUUCAGCAGCUGAGCUGCGCCACGUCAUGACUAAUCUCGGCGAAAAGCUAACAGACGAGGAAGUCGACGAGAUGAUCCGUGAAGCCGAUAUAGAUGGCGAUGGCCAGGUUAAUUAUGAAGAAUUCGUAACAAUGAUGACAUCGAAGUGAGCUACAGGUCGAUACAUUGCGCCUUUCUAUUUGUUUAUUAAGAAGACUGUAGCCACGCGCAACACCAGCUGCGCAACGCUAUCGCUAUGGAUUUAAAAGGAAGAAAAUGAUGAAAAGCAGCGUGGGAUGCAGUGGAGACAAGAAAGCAAGAUGAAGAUUAAAAGAAAGGAAGGAAAAAAUACAAAGAGUAAAAAUACAGAAAGUAAAAAAAGAUUAACAUUAAAUUUAACUUAAAAACAAAAGAAACAACAACACAGAGCAUACAAAAACGAAAAGCGAGAAUGAAGAGAACACGUACUACAUUUACUGAUGGCAAAAGGUGAAAAGUCAAAUAAAAACACAACAGCAACAACAGCAUCUUAGAAGAACAUCUUCAGCAAACAGCUAUUACUACAACUUCUACAACUACAGCCGCAAUAAAAAUAAUGAAAAGAGCUACAAACAACAACCAACAACAGGACAGCCACAAAUAAACUUCUUCAUCAUGCCACUACCAUCACAAGCGACACGACACACCCUCUCCCACGCAGAUGAAAGAAAGAGAACAAGUGCGUCCAAAUCAAACUAACGUUAAACUAGCAGAAUUGCAUCGGCGGCAACGAGAUAGCAAUAUGGCAACUGGCAGCAUAUAAACGACAACAUCGUGCAGAAGAUGCAGCAUCAAUCAGCAACGAGCAGCAGGCAGCGCAACAGCACCGACGGCGGCGGCAUCAGCGGCAACAGCAGUGCAGCAGCGCAAGCGACGGCUUAUGUGGCAAAAUACUACUUGGCAGCAAUAGGGUUGUGGAUCGUACGUGGUCUGGGUUUUGGGCGAAAGAAGUACGGGCAGAUUUGUGUCGCUUCUAUGGCACCCGUUUGCAAAUCUGCGGUUAAAGAGGGGAGCUUAGUUUAGAAUGGAGAAAGCGUGGAAGUGUCGGCAUUGGAGAAUGGCGGAUGUGCAUGACGUUGUAUUCGAUAAAAGUAACAGUAAAAGAUCUAACCACCGCAAAUACGGUCGAACUCCAGCCCAAACCCAAAGCAUAAGAGAGGAAGGUGAAAACGAAUGUGGCGUAGCAAAGUUGGUUUUUAGCUGAGCACUGUCGGAAUGUAGAGCACUUAAAGAUAAAGAGAACAAGAGAAAAAAAAACACACAAGGUUGAGAAAGAUCAUAAGAGUAGUACAUACAGAAGAAGCAAAGAAAAUGAGAACAAUGCAGCGAUAGUUAUUGCAGUCAACAUAAUUGAUAAAAAUAAGAGCUUUUCACUAAGAACUACUACCAGCAGUAAGCGAGAGAGAAAGAGUAAACAUAGUUUAUGAAACAACUUACAUGAUAAAGAAACAACAAACAAACAAACAAGCAAAACAAUCACAAGCACACAUACACACACAUACGGUACACAAACACACAAAACAUUCACAAACAAACACAUACACAGCCAAACGGUAAACCAACAGAAAACGAAAUCCAAAUGAAGGACACUUUCUUCCUUUCUUCCUUUCUUUCUUUCGUCGUCGUUGUCGUCGUCGUUGUCGCGUUUGUUAGUUGAAGAAAAAAUAUUUGAAACAGCAAGAACAAAAUCAAGCAACCACUUACAAUUAAAAAAUAAAAACCGAACAAAAAAAGUCUAAACCCAAAUAUAAGACCCUCUCCCUCUUGUGAGGAGAGGCUAUAAAUAACAAUCCAACAAAAGAAAAAAAAAAGAUCUAGCUUGCACACCACAAAACAUACACAGACAAACACACACACACAUACACAAAC